UGGACUUUAGUCCCAAAGGAAACGCGACCCAAGCUUCUUCAUUGAUACAAUAUAUAGAGACCUUGUUCACGCACAAGACGGAAGUCUAGUUUGACUGUGCCACCGCGUUACUUCUGAACAACGUUCCAGGUCGUGCUCGCAUCCUCGCAAUUGAUGUGUUUCAAAGCUUCAUCGAACAACGUCUCUGUUUCAUGUCCUGCUUCAUCUUCGCGUCUGGACUCGUCGCACCCUUGCUGCUUCGGUCCAAACGAUUUGCACGUCCUCCAGCUUCAUCAGCCGUCGCAGUUUGAAGAUUCACAAUAUUCGUGACAUUCAGCAACAAAACGUGAUUCGCUUUGUUCCAUUCAUCGACUCAAGGAUUCAAAGGUUCGCAUCACCAAAUUCAACUCGAUAUGUUAUCAUGCAAGCAAACAAAAGAAGAGAUGGAAUCAAAGACUUAUCGGAUGGAACAUGAAUCAGAUUUUUCGCUUGAUUUCCAAUUUAUUCUUUUUCUUCUCCCUCUGUUUGAUUCUGACUUCGAGUUCUUGCGUGUGUUGCAAAAUCGAGCGAUUCUGAGAGUUCAGAGAAAAGAGAGCUUGGAGAAAUUCUGGAAAAUCAUCCCCUCCUUCGAUGAAUGAUGAUGACUAAGAGAAUGAAGAAUGAAGGAUCGAUAUCCACUAUUAAAGGUUGAAAACAUAAUACAAAGUGAGGAAUCAAAGGAUUGAAGAUUGAAGUUUGUGAAGCCCCUUGAAACUGAGUAAGGUUUCAAUUAGGUGAAGAUGCCUUCGGUUUGGAUAUGGUUUAAAGAGUGGAGAUUUUGCUUGCAUUGGAAAUGGAUUACGUUUUGGAAUGUCUUGGAGAUUGGGAGGGGCACUCAUCAGCAGUUUUUGUAGAAGGAAGGCAGUAUUACCAAACUGAAGAGCAGAAUUAAGAUCAACAUCCUGUGGUUGCAUUGAGAAUCUGGUAGUUGUACCAUGAUGAUAACCUCUAUCUGUUAUACCAGCAUCCAUUGAAGGUUGUACUGUAGGAACAUGAAUUGGUAGACUUGGGAUAUAGAAUAGUCAUGUGAACUCAGAGGAACCUGAUGUUGGGCCGUACCCAAAGUCCUGUUCUGAUUGUAAUUUAACAGAGACUUGUCAUCAUACUCAAUAACAUGUAUCCAAUUCUCA
Molecule: long non-coding RNA, 1148 nt
Organism: Lathyrus oleraceus (garden pea)
Lineage: Eukaryota; Viridiplantae; Streptophyta; Magnoliopsida; Fabales; Fabaceae
Exons: 2
Source: RefSeq, a predicted model, not a curated record